CAGCUCUGUAGGUCAGAAGUUAAAGCUCAGUGGGCUUCUGUGCUCAGGGUCUCACAAGGCUGAAACCAAGGUUUCAGUUAGGUCGGGAUCUUACCUGGAGGCUCUGGAAAGAUUUUACCCCCAAGCUCAUUCAGUAUAUUCUUGCGGCCCUGCCACCAGAUGAAAGGAAGAGCAUGAAAGCACCAGCAGAUCCGGGGCCCUGCCUUUCCAGCUUUAACAUGCCAACAAACGUGGACGGGGCGCUCGGCUGACGGAGGCAUCUGUUGUUCCUGUGCACCGGCUUCAGCUGGGAGCGGCUGAGAACAACAGCUAGGUGAUAUGUAGGGUUGGCAUUGAAGAUCACAGAUCUCUUGAAGAUCCUCUCAGCAUUCAGGAUGGCCAAGCAGGGUAGCUGGAAUGCCAAGCUUGGCACCUCAGCCUCAAAUCCUUUUAGAACUGAAGAUCUCAGCUGGUCCCAAGUGAAUCUCCAUUUGUGUUCCCUCUUCAAUAAAGUCUUCUUCUCAACACAGAGGAGGAUGUGAAAGCCACGGCUCCUGAAGGCACUGUCCCUGCUAUUUGAAAGACCAAGACAUAUAUACACACGUAUGUCCUGUGUGUGGAUAACUUACAACAAAGUAUUCUGAUCCUGAAUGUAUGUACAGUAGAAUGUUAACUCCUUCUAGGCAUAGAAGUAGCACCAUAUGUCCCUGUAGUAGGAAUGUGUCCCAAUCCUAGAAUGAUGGGGUUGUAUUUGGUAUGUGACUCUAAAGUCAAACUUACUAUUGAAAUGUAUAACUGAUCUACAAAGAUAUUUAUAAGCCUCCCUCCCCUCUAUUUUAAUAAAGUGAAUGAAGGAUAAUUCCAGACAUUUUAUGUUUUUUAAAAAAAAUCUUUGAAACAUUUAUAUAGUGUUUCUUAUGUAACAAGCAUUAUGCAACAAACAUUGCUCUACAUCUUUUUACAGAUAAUAAUUUAAUUCCCUGUGAGCAGGAUACAACUAUCACUCCCUUUUAUACAUAAGAAAAUGAGGAACAGAGAUUAGAUUAUUUACCCAAAUUCACACAGCCAGUUAGAGCUGGAAUUCUGAUCCUUCUAGUCUAGAGCCACAGUCUAUAUC
Molecule: long non-coding RNA, 1096 nt
Organism: Bos taurus (domestic cattle)
Lineage: Eukaryota; Metazoa; Chordata; Mammalia; Artiodactyla; Bovidae
Source: Ensembl